UGGGGCUUUGUGGGGUCUGGGGUCUCUAUGGGGUCUCUAUGGGGCUCUAUGGGGUCUCUAUGGGUCUUUAUGGGGUCUCUGUGAGGUCGUUAUGGGGGAUGGGGGCUCUGUGGGGUCCCUAUGGGUCCCUAUGGGGUCUAUGGGGUCCCUAUGUGUCUCUAUGGGUCCCCGUGGGUUCUGUGGGUCGCGGCGGGUCCCUGUGGGUCUCUAUGGGUCUCUAUGCAUCCCUAUGGGUCCCUACGUGUCCCCGUGGGUUCGGUGGGUCCCUAUGGGUCCAUAUGGGGUUUAUGGGUCCCUAUGGGUCUCUAUGGGGUCUAUGGGUCUCUAUGGGUCCCUAUGGGGUCUAUGGGUCUCUAUGGGUCCCUACGGGUCCCCUUUGGUUGGUUGUGGGGCGUGCGUGGGUCUGUGGGUCUCUAUGGGGUCCCCAUGAGUCUCUAUGGGUCCGUAUCAGUCCCUAUGGGUCCCUAUGGGUCUCUGUGGGUUCUUAUGGGUCCCUAUGAGUCUCUAUGGGGUCUGUGGGUCCCUAUGGGGUCUAUGGGUCCCUAUGGGUCUCUAUGGGUUCCUAUGAGUCCCUAUGGGUCCCUAUGGGUCUCUAUGGGGUCUAUGGGGUCUCUAUGUGUCUCUAUGGGUCCCUAUGGGGUCUAUGGGUCCCUAUGGGUCUCUAUGGGGUCUAUGGGGUCUCUAUGUGUCUCUAUGGGUCUCUAUGGGUUCUAUGGGUCUCUAUGGGGUCUAUGGGGUCCCUAUGGGUCCCUAUGGGUCCCCGUGGGUUCAGUGGGUCCCUAUGGGUCCCCUUUGGUUGGCUGUGGGGCGUGCGUGGGUCUGUGGGUCUCUAUGGGGUCCCCAUGGUUCUCUAUGGGUCCCUAUAGAUCUCUAUGGGUCUCUAUGGGGCCCUAUGGGUCUCUAUGGGUCUCUAUGGGGUCUUUGGGUCCCUAUGGGUCUCUAUGGGUCUCUAUGGGGUCUAUGGGUCCCUAUGGGUCUCUAUGGGGUCUAUGGGGUCCCUAUGGGAUCUAUGGGGUCUCUAUGUGUCUCUAUGGGUCUCUCUGGCGUCUAUGGGUCCCUAUGGGUCUCUCUGGGUCUCUCUGGGUCCCUAUGGGGUUUAUGGGUCCCUAUGGGUCCCUAUGGGGUCUAUGGGGUCCCUAUGGGUCUCUAUGGGUCUCUAUGGGUUCUAUGGGUCUCUAUGGGUCCCUACGUGUCCCCGUGGGUUCUGUGGGUCCCUAUGGGUCUCUAUGGGGUCUAUGGGGUCCCUAUGGGUCUCUGUGGGUCCCUAUGGGUCCCUAUGGGUCCCCGUGGGUUUGGUGGGUCCCUAUGGGGUCUAUGGGUCCCUAUGGGUCCCUAUGGGGUUUAUGGGUCCCUACGGGUCCCCUUUGGUUGGCUGUGG
Molecule: long non-coding RNA, 1378 nt
Organism: Phasianus colchicus (ring-necked pheasant)
Lineage: Eukaryota; Metazoa; Chordata; Aves; Galliformes; Phasianidae
Source: Ensembl